Molecule: ribosomal RNA, 406 nt
Filed under: uncultured bacterium
Lineage: Bacteria
Description: partial 16S ribosomal RNA
Rfam family: Bacterial small subunit ribosomal RNA
Source: RNAcentral
AUUGAACGCUGGCGGCAGGCCUAACACAUGCAAGUCGAACGAGUCGCGGACGGGUGAGUAAUGUCUGGGAAACUGCCCGCUGGAGGGGGAUAACUACUGGCAACGGUUGCUACUACCUCAUACCAUUGGAUGUGCCCAGAUGGGAUUAGCUAGUAGGUGGGGUAACGGCUCACCUAGGCGACGAUCCCUGGCUGGUCUGAGAGGAUGACCAGCAACAGGGGAACGGAGACACGGACCAGACCCCUAAGGGAGGCAGCAGUGGGGAAUAUUGGACAAGGGGCACAAGCCUGAUGCAGCCAUGGGGCGUGUAUGAAGAAGGCCUUCGGGGUGUAAAGUACGUUCAGCGAGGAGGCGGUACUCGCAGAAGAAGCACCGGCUAACUCCGUGCCAGCAGCCGCGGUAAUAC